GAUAGUAAAAUUAUGGGGAUUUUAGGUUUUGAGGAAAUAUAAGUUAUUUAAGUAUUUCAAGUUUUAAUUAUGAAAUAUGUGUUUAAUUAGAAAUUUUCUAAGAUUAGACAUUGACACAAGUUAUGUACCCAUUUUAUAGAUGAGAUAAAUUUUGGAUU
Molecule: long non-coding RNA, 158 nt
Organism: Juglans microcarpa x Juglans regia
Lineage: Eukaryota; Viridiplantae; Streptophyta; Magnoliopsida; Fagales; Juglandaceae
Exons: 3
Source: RefSeq, a predicted model, not a curated record